This 481-nucleotide ribosomal RNA is filed under the name uncultured bacterium. RNAcentral describes it as "partial 16S ribosomal RNA". It matches the Rfam family "Bacterial small subunit ribosomal RNA", at positions 28 to 507 of the family's 1533-position model. The record is from RNAcentral.
GAUGAACGCUGGCGGCGUGCCUAACACAUGCAAGUCGAACGGAGAUUCCGGACGGAAGUUUUCGGAUGGAAGCCUGUAAUUCUUAGUGGCGGACGGGUGAGUAACGCGUGGGCAACCUGCCCUAUACAGGGGGAUAGCAGCUGGAAACGGCUGGUAAGACCGCAUAAGUCGGCGAGACCGCAUGGUUUUGCCGGGAAAUGAGCAAUCAGGUAUAGGAUGGGCCCGCGUCCGAUUAGCCAGUUGGCAGGGUAAAAGCCUACCAAAGCAACGAUCGGUAGCCGGACUGAGAGGUCGGACGGCCACAUUGGGACUGAGACACGGCCCAAACUCCUACGGGAGGCAGCAGUGGGGGAUAUUGCACAAUGGAGGAAACUCUGAUGCAGCGACGCCGCGUGAGUGAAGAAGUAUUUCGGUAUGUAAAGCUCUAUCAGCAGGGAAGAUGAUGACGGUACCUGGCUAAGAAGCCCCGGCUAACUACGUG